CCAUGCACGUCUAAGUAUAAACAGAAAUACAGUAAAACUGCAAAUGGCUCAUUACAACAGUUAUAGUUUCUUUGAUAACAAACGUUUACAUGGAUAACCGUGGUAAUUCUAGAGCUAAUACAUGAGCACAUUCUCAACUGUUUUAGAAGAGAAGCAUUUAUUAGAUAAAAAACCAAUAUAUGUUUUUAAAACAUAAAAGUUGGUGAUUUACAAUAACUAAGCAAAUCGCACAGUGCAAACUGGCGAUAAAUCAUUCAAGUUUCUGACCUAUCAGCUUUCGACGGUAAGGUAUUGGCUUACCGUGGCAGUGACGGUUAACGGGGAAUUAGGGUUCAAUUCCGGAGAGGGAGCCUGAGAAACGGCUACCACAUCUAAGGAAGGCAGCAGGCGCGCAAAUUACCCAAUUCUAACAGCAUAAGAGAGGUAGUGACAAGAAAUAACAGUACAAGGCAGUUAAAAUGCUUUGUAAUUGGAAUGAUAGAAAUUUAAAUACUUUUUAAAGUAUCAAUUGGAGGGCAAGUCUGGUGCCAGCAGCCGCGGUAAUUCCAGCUCCAAUAGCGUAUAUUAAAAUUGUUGCAGUUAAAAAGCUCGUAGUUGAAUUUUUGCUAAAAAUAACCGGUCUGCUUUUAUUAAUAAAAGUGGUAUCUUGGUGUGUUUUUAGCAAUAAUGUCCUUUGAAAUGUUUUUUACUUUAUUGUAAAAAGCAAUUUUCAGGAUUUUUACUUUGAGAAAAUUAGAGUGUUUCAAGCAGGCUAACGUUUUGAAUACUGCAGCAUGGAAUAAUAAAAUAGGAUUUUAGUUCUACGUUAUUGGUUUUAAGAACUAAAUUAAUGAUUGAUAGGAGCAGUUGGGGGCAUUUGUAUUUAACUGUCAGAGGUGAAAUUCUUAGAUUUGUUAAAGACACACUACUGCGAAAGCAUUUGCCAAGAUGUUUCAUUAAUCAAGAACGAAAGUAAGGGGAUCGAAGACGAUCAGAAUACCGUCGUAGUCUUAACUAUAACUAUGCCGACUAGAUAAUGGAGGUCGUCCUUA
Molecule: ribosomal RNA, 1031 nt
Filed under: Cerastes cerastes (horn viper)
Lineage: Eukaryota; Metazoa; Chordata; Lepidosauria; Squamata; Viperidae
Description: bacterial SSU rRNA
Rfam family: Eukaryotic small subunit ribosomal RNA
Source: RNAcentral